Molecule: ribosomal RNA, 228 nt
Filed under: uncultured bacterium
Lineage: Bacteria
Description: partial 16S ribosomal RNA
Rfam family: Bacterial small subunit ribosomal RNA
Source: RNAcentral
UAAUCUACCUUCGGGUGGGGAAUAACCCAGGGAAACUUGGGGCUAAUACCGCAUAAUGCAGCGGCACCACAUGGUGACAGUUGUUAAAGCGGGGGAUCUUCGGAUCUCGCGCCUGAAGAGGAGCCUGCGGCAGAUUAGCUAGUUGGUAAGGUAACGGCUUACCAAGGCGACGAUCUGUAGCCGGCCUGAGAGGGCGGUCGGCCACACUGACACUGACAUACGGGUCAG